AUUUAAAAAUAUUUAAUGGUAUUUUAAUUUACUUAAAAGUAAGUGAUUUACUUACUCUAAUUAAGGUUUUAAAUUUUAAAACAUGUGAGUUUUUGCGGGGUAUAGAUUAAUAUUUAAUAUAUAAUUUUAUGAAUUUUCAGUUUUUAAUAUUAUUUUUUUAAUUAAUUAAAUUAUAGUAAUUUUAUUUAAUGUUAGCUAAUUUAGUGCCAGCAGUUGCGGUUAUUCUAGUAACAUAAUUUUUAAUUUUUUCAGUUGGGUAUUAAUUUUAUAAUUUUUAAUUAUUUUUUAAUUUAUUAAGUGAAAUUUUAAAUUAAUUAUUUUUAAAGGUUUUUUAAAUAUUAAAUUUUAUUUAUAAACUAGGAUUAGAUACCCUAUUAUAAAAAUUUAAAUUUUAUACUUUAAUAUUAACAGUUAUAAUCUCUAAAAUAAGUAAAUUUGGCGGUAAUUAUAAAUUGUUUAGAGGAACCUGUUGUAUAAUUGAUGAACCACGAUUUUUUAUACUUUCCUUAUACUUAUAUACCUCUAUCAUUGAAUGUUUUAUUAGAAUAAUUUUCUUAAAUUAAUUUUUACAUAAUGUUAGGUCAAGGUUUAGUUAUAGGUGAGAAAUAAAUGGGUUACAAUAAUUUUAUUUUUGAAUUAGGAAUGUUUAUAUUUUUUAUGAAAUUGGAUUUAAUUGUAAUUUUAACUUUAUAGUUAAUUUGAAAUUAUUUUGGUUAUGCACAUAUCGCCCGUCAUUCUCGAAUAUCGAGACAAGUCGUAACAAAGUAGGAUAUCCGGAAGGAUACCCUGGUUAGAUU
Molecule: non-coding RNA, 797 nt
Filed under: Agramma hupehanum
Lineage: Eukaryota; Metazoa; Arthropoda; Insecta; Hemiptera; Tingidae
Source: RNAcentral